RNAcentral lists this ribosomal RNA (489 nucleotides) under uncultured bacterium. Its description in RNAcentral is "bacterial SSU rRNA". It matches the Rfam family "Bacterial small subunit ribosomal RNA", at positions 30 to 517 of the family's 1533-position model. The record is from RNAcentral.
AUUGAACGCUGGCGGCAUGCUUUACACAUGCAAGUCGAACGGUAACAGGGAGCUUGCUCCGCUGACGAGUGGCGAACGGGUGAGUAAUGCAUCGGAACGUGCCGUGUAGUGGGGGAUAACGUAGCGAAAGUUACGCUAAUACCGCAUACGCCCUGAGGGGGAAAGUGGGGGACCGCAAGGCCUCACGCUAUACGAGCGGCCGAUGUCGGAUUAGCUAGUUGGUAGGGUAACGGCCUACCAAGGCGACGAUCAAUAGCUGGCGUGAGAGCGCGACCAGCCACACUGGAACUGAGACACGGUCCAGACUCCUACGGGAGGCAGCAGUAGGGAAUAUUGGACAAUGGGCGAAAGCCUGAUCCAGCCAUGCCGCGUGAUAGAUGAAGGCCCUCUGGGUUGUAAAUAUCUUUUAUCUGGGAAGAAACUCCUCUAUUCUUAGAGGCCUGACGGUACCAGAGGAAUAAGCACCGGCUAACUCCGUGCCAGCAGCCG